GAUGAACGCUGGCGGCGUGCCUAAUACAUGCAAGUCGAGCGAACAGACGAGGAGCUUGCUCCUCUGACGUUAGCGGCGGAAGGGUGAGUAACACGUGGAUAACCUACCUAUAAGACUGGGAUAACUUCGGGAAACCGGAGCUAAUACCGGAUAAUAUAUUGAACCGCAUGGUUCAAUAGUGAAAGACGGUUUUGCUGUCACUUAUAGUUGGAUCCGCGCUGCAUUAGCUAGUUGGUAAGGUAACGGCUUACCAAGGCAACGAUGCGUAGCCGACCUGAGAGGGUGAUCGGCCACACUGGGACUGAGACACGGUCCAGACUCCUACGGGAGGCAGCAGUAGGGAAUCUUCCGCGAUGUGCGAAAGCCUGACGGAGCAACGCCGCGUGAGUGAUGAAGGUCUUCGGAUUGUAAAACUCUGUUAUUAGGGAAGAACAAAUGUGUAAGUAACUAUGCACGUCUUGACGGUACCUAAUCAGAAAGCCACGGCUAACUACGUG
RNAcentral lists this ribosomal RNA (497 nucleotides) under uncultured bacterium. Its description in RNAcentral is "partial 16S ribosomal RNA". It matches the Rfam family "Bacterial small subunit ribosomal RNA", at positions 28 to 507 of the family's 1533-position model. The record is from RNAcentral.